CCUACGGGGGGCAGCAGUGGGGAAUAUUGCACAAUGGGCGGAAGCCUGAUGCAGCGACGCCGCGUGGGGGAUGAAGGCCUUCGGGUUGUAAACUCCUUUCGACAGGGACGAAGCUUUUUGUGACGGUACCUGUAUAAGAAGCACCGGCUAACUACGUGCCAGCAGCCGCGGUAAUACGUAGGGUGCGAGCGUUGUCCGGAAUUACUGGGCGUAAAGAGCUCGUAGGUGGUUUGUCGCGUCGUCUGUGAAAUUCCGGGGCUUAACUCCGGGCGUGCAGGCGAUACGGGCUGACUUGAGUGCUGUAGGGGAGACUGGAAUUCCUGGUGUAGCGGUGAAAUGCGCAGAUAUCAGGAGGAACACCGAUGGCGAAGGCAGGUCUCUGGGCAGUUACUGACGCUGAGGAGCGAAAGCAUGGGUAGCGAACAGGAUUAG
This 432-nucleotide ribosomal RNA is filed under the name uncultured bacterium. RNAcentral's name for it is "bacterial SSU rRNA". It matches the Rfam family "Bacterial small subunit ribosomal RNA", at positions 338 to 781 of the family's 1533-position model. The record is from RNAcentral.